CUCCGGGGAAUGGAUUUUAAAUGUUACCGAAACCAUUCAAUGGCGGGAACACGAACCGUCUGGUUUAUCUAACUAAAAAGGUAGCCGUUGAAAUUGGCUUUAAUGUACUUCUGCACGACAUCGGCGGUCAAUCAUUACACUGGCCAUAAAGUUGAUUUGCUUUGUCUUGGAAAUUGAUGCCGUUUAAACUCCCAACUCUUCAACUUCUCGAUUUGAAUGUAUAUAAGGCAAGAAAUCAUAGCCUACCAUCACUCAUCUUCUUUCCUUCUUCAGCCAGCCUUAAGUUACAAUUCCUAACCUUUUCUUCUUCCGUCAAAACUCAACUUUUUAACCACAUCUUCUCUUCCAUUGUUAACUCAAUUUCCUGAAAAUUUUGCCUCUCCUGACCGCCAUUCAGAUAAAGCUCCGAUGAAUUCCUCCAAGCCGAAAGAGGAACUUGAAUUCUUGUUGCCGACAUUCUUCCUGUUGGAUUCAAAUAUAAUAAUGAUUGUCACAUUUCAACCCACCUGAAAUCCGUUGACGAGAUUGAGUCGUUCAUAGAUGUUGAAACAAUUCCCAUAUUACGACGAGAUUGCAAUUUUGGCUCUGAUAUUGAUAUCAUCAAUGUUGACGAUGGGAUGCGGAUGAACCACCAUGUAGAAGGUUUCUCUAUGACAUACACCUAUCCGUUCACCAUAGGGUUCUCUUUCCCCAUUCCCCAAAUUUUAGAGGAUUUUUGCCGCCGAUACAAGGUUUGCAUUGGGCAAAUUGCACCACAGGUUUAGAGAUUAGUUUAUUGCAUUCAACUCUUGGCUAACAUAACCAAUGUUUCUUUCACUCUGGGCCACCUCAUUUACUUGUACGUCCCUCAUGUUAUCUGAGGUGAAUUAGUGCACUUAUAUCCCCGAGUUAGGCACAGUUUGAUCGAUCCAUAGGAUGAUUACGAUCGAGGCUGGUUACACCGGUUCGUCAUGAUCCGAACAGACCAGCUUCACCGUCCUUUAUCUAAUCCCUUUCAUGGAAUCCUGCUCCGAUUUCAGUCGAACCGGAACUUGUGAUAAAGAUUUUCGAAUGGGUUGUUGCAUUACUUGAUACUUCUAACAACAUAACCCGCUCUUGGAGGAGUAUGAGCUCUGAGUGGUGGAAAGGCAAAAAUCACGGUAAGUCCAAAUAUUUUUGUAGGUUUUUAGCACCUUUAAUUUCUUUAUAACUAUAUCUUUCAUAUGAGACUUCCUGUGAAGAAGCCAACUUCCAAAAAGGUUCUUUCUCGAGAUGUUGCUGCGGAGAAUGUUGCAUCCUCUAGUCGAAAGUGUAAGCAAAAAGAAGCUUUUGCUCCACCCGUAGACAUCGUCUCUUGACUCCGUACCCAGCGCCUGCUUUCAGAGGUUCCGAUUAAAACUCAACAAGGUGUUCAUCCUUCAGUAAUUAUACUUGAUGAGGAUGACCAAACCAAUGAAGUUAAUAAUCCAUCGCCAAACAGUCCCAAUACUGUGAUUGAGAAGCCAUCCGAGGAGAAUUUUGCUCCUCUUACAAAUCAACCUUUAACUGCCCCGACUUCUCCAAUCAAAGAGUAGGCUUCGAAGAACACCAUUCCGCAGGAUGAAACUGCCUCUUUGGGGUCAUCAGCCCAUCCUAAAUCUUUUGCCGCCAAGUUAGAGUCAUCUUUGACUCAACUGGAGGAUGUUUUCCUUCAGGGCCAUACUGCCACUACUUCAGCCAUAGAAGUUUCCCGUUCCUUUGCUUCCUCUCAACAAGAAGUAAAUCUUUAUGCGGAAAAGCAGCGUCUUAAAAUUGACAACGAAAGAUUGAGGUCCGACCUCCGGGAUUUCGAUUCCCUUCAAGCCUCCUUGACAUUGGAUUUAAAUGACGUAAUUGGUUCUCUAAGAGAACGAGAGAAUUUCUUACAAGCACUGACCACUUCCUACAUGGGUAUACAAAACAAGAACACCAAGUUGGAAGAAAAUAUAUCUAGCGUUCGUGAACAUCUUGUUAGUGUAGAAAUUUCCCGUGAUUGUUUCAAGGUUCGGUGUAAGAAAUCACGUUCUGCCGUGAUUUAGCCAUACUCGAAAUGCGAAGGAAUGCCUUCAAAGAAGAUAGUGCCCUAGAUUCGAUCUUCUCUCAUGACUCCUCGAAGCGAUGACUGAUGCGGAAGCGGCUGAAAUGGCCCUUAAAGAUAUUGAUGAUUUCAGAGCUUUUAGGACGAAGGAGAAAGAUUUCGGGACAUCCAAGACAGUUAAUAAUGCUUUAUAGGCUUUAGAUCUUUCCCUUUAUUGCCUUAAAACUUUUAUGGAUAGUUGUUUUAAUUCCCAAUCAUGUUUUGCCCGGUUAUUUUAACCGAA
Long non-coding RNA from Lycium barbarum (goji berry), 2318 nucleotides. RefSeq lists it as uncharacterized. The record is from RefSeq and is a predicted model, not a curated record. Lineage: Eukaryota; Viridiplantae; Streptophyta; Magnoliopsida; Solanales; Solanaceae. The transcript has 3 exons.